CCUACGGGGGGCAGCAGUGGGGAAUAUUGGACAAUGGGGGGAACCCUGAUCCAGCCAUGCCGCGUGUGUGAAGAAGGCCCUCGGGUUGUAAAGCACUUUCAGUGAGGAAGAACGCCUGGUGGUUAAUACCCAUCAGGAAAGACAUCACUCACAGAAGAAGCACCGGCUAACUCCGUGCCAGCAGCCGCGGUAAUACGGAGGGUGCGAGCGUUAAUCGGAAUUACUGGGCGUAAAGCGCGCGUAGGUGGCUUGAUAAGCCGGUUGUGAAAGCCCCGGGCUCAACCUGGGAACGGCAUCCGGAACUGUCAAGCUAGAGUGCAGGAGAGGAAGGUAGAAUUCCCGGUGUAGCGGUGAAAUGCGUAGAGAUCGGGAGGAAUACCAGUGGCGAAGGCGGCCUUCUGGACUGACACUGACACUGAGGUGCGAAAUCGUGGGUAGCAAACAGGAUUAGAUACCCCAGUAGUC
This 465-nucleotide ribosomal RNA is filed under the name Vreelandella stevensii. RNAcentral's name for it is "partial 16S ribosomal RNA". It matches the Rfam family "Bacterial small subunit ribosomal RNA", at positions 338 to 795 of the family's 1533-position model. Lineage: Bacteria; Pseudomonadati; Pseudomonadota; Gammaproteobacteria; Oceanospirillales; Halomonadaceae. The record is from RNAcentral.